AUUGAGGAUCUUAGAAUUAUCUAAAAAAUAAAUUUUAUAAUUUUUCGAUAUUAUUUACUUAGUAAUCAAAUUGACUAAAAAUGAACGACUAAAAAUAAAAAUCUUACAAAGUUAUGAUGUAGCAGUAAAAUUUCGAUCAGAAAUAUUGAUCAGACUGUAGAUAGUAUAAAGAUUUUUCUAUCAAAAUUUCAUCUGAUUUAAAUACUUAUGCACUACUAAACAUAUAAACGGCACACAUCAACCAUUAAAAAUUAUUGAUUUUGAGCCCUUUCGAUCAGUGGUAAAUAACAUCAAAAAAUUACAAAAUUUAUUUUCUAGGUGCAUUAAAUAUGCUAGGUCAAGUUUAACGAAACUAAUUGUCGAUUUGGAAGUUCCAUCAUCGAAAAUGGUUCGGAAGCACGGAGACCUCCGUGCUCCUAAUAGCACACAAGCCCUACUCUCUCUCUCUCUCUCUCUCUCUCUCUCUCUCUAUAUAUAUAUAUAUAUAUAUAUAUAUAUAUAUAGAGCUAGGCUGGUAUACUAUCGGUAGCACGGAGACCUCCGUGCUACCAAGUUGUUUUCAAUGAUGUAGCUUUCAAAUCAACGAUCGGUUUCGUUAGACUUGAUCUACAUUAUUGAAAGUAUUUGGAAAACUAAAUUUCAUAACUUUUUGACAUAUUUUGGUUAGUGAUCAAAAGGUGUCAAAAUUAACAAUUUUAAUGGUAGAUGUGAUGCGUUUGUGAAUUUAACGGUGUAAAAUAAUCCAAAUCUGAUAAAAUUUUUAUAGAAAAUUCUUUUCACUAUUUUAGGUAAGAUCAUUACAUCUGAUCUUAAAUUCAAGUUUUUAUUAUUAUUUUUUAUGCAGAUUUUUAUUUUCAGCGCUUCAUUUUUAGACUACUCGUUUGAUAGGUAAAUAAUACCGAAAAUUAUGAAAUUUAGUUUCCAAUACUUUCAAUAGUGUAGAUCAAGUCUACGCCGAGACCGAAUCAUCGAUUUGGAAGCCGCAUCAUUGAAAACAAUUUGGUAGCAAAGGCCCUCGUGCUACUGAUAGUAUAUCAGCCUGCUCUCUCUCCUCUCUCUCCUCUCUCUCCGUCUCCUAUAUAUAUAUAUAUAUAUAUAUCCAUAAUUUUAAUAAUGAUUUUGUUGGUGAUUUUUAUUUUGAGAAUCAGAUACUCGUUCAACCAUACGUAGCAAAGUAAAUUACACUUCACAUUCCUCUAUAUUUGUAAUCUCACUUGAUAUUUCAUAUUCUCUUAAUAUAGAUACGACGAACUCUUCGACGGCGUUCUACUAUCUCAUAAGAUAAGUUUCCAAAGUAACCAUGCAAAGAUUCUGCAUGGUUUAAUCCCGUACUUCGGAGUAAAAGUGCGAGCGAAACUGCUAAUCUUUUCUCCAAAACCAAACAUGCUCUUAGGUGAAUUGAACUUACAUUAUAACGAUCGUCCUACUUAAUGAGUUUUAUGUUCCAAGAGAUAUGAUUUGGAUCACAAUAUUGAGUUGCUAAACUUAACCUGCUUAAAUAAUGCAUUACAACUCUACAGAAGGAAAGGUCGUCAAGCUGAGUAAGGAAUCUAUUCAUGUCAUCGUACUCGGCUUUACUUCGGCGGCCAUUAUGUCGGAAGAUAUUCGAGAAGAGUUCAAGUACAAAAUCGUAAGAUUUAUAACAUUUAACAUGUUAGCAUAUAUAGGCCUUGUUCUGCUUCGGUGUGAAUUAUAUUUUAGGUUUUUCGGGUCUGUAAUAGGUUUCAAUAGUGACUCUUUCUUAGUUUAAGUACUUGUAUAUGUUUCUCUGUCCUGUACGAAGUUCCUAGAAGCUUUUUAUUUGCUAUCAAAAUGGAAAUUUCUAUAAGUUACGCCUUACAGAUAGGCCUCAUGUUGCAUCACUUGGAUUCUAGUUUCCUCGAUUUCAGUUCGAUAACAAUUUUUCAAAGGAAGUGAUGGAAAAAUGGGGUAAUUCGAUUUUAACUUUUCCUCUCUCUUUUCAUGCAAUGUUUGAUGCAGAAACAUGGUGCUGGAUGUUUUGCAAGUUCAUCUCACAAAUGGCACAGGAUAAAAGUUGGAAGCAUGGUACAGUUCGCGGUCAAAAGGUAACUGCAAAAGUUAUUUUCAUAUGCAAAGUUUUAUUCGUGCUGUACUUCCGUAGAAGUUGGAAAGUUGGAAGUGUGUUGUUCUUCAACUUGAGUUUUCCAGAGUAUCCAUAUCAUCAAGUUGAGAAAUAUUCGCAAAUUAACAUAUGUGUCUAAAGUGUUUUUGAAUGUAGAGUCAUGCAUAAUCCUUUUGGAGAACCUUUUUUUCACCUGGUUCUCUUGUUUCCCCUCACAAUCUGAUCGAGGGAUUUAUUAGUAUUUUUAACAUCAUUUCAAAUCCUUUGAUAUUCCAUCCUCUCACCGUUGUGUACAUACAUGUGGCAUAGGAUAUAAUGGCUAGGAUGUGAAUGUACAGCAUAUGCAGUGAAACUGAGAUAUUCUGUUUUCCCUUUCUUUAUUUGUGUGAUGUUACUGAGUAGUGUGGAUGAAGAAAUCGGCCAUAUUUCCGGAUCUUUGAUUCCACCUCAAACUGGAUGUGUUCAUUGGUUAUUAAAACAUAGUGCAGAUGCUGUAUCGCAAACCAACAGGUUCAUCUCUAACUCGUCUUUUGGUUGUCUCUUUAACUGACACCUAGGUUUUUAUUUUGAUAUAAGUGGUACAAAUUUGUAUCCACCUAAUUGGCCUAGCUAAAUUUAUGUUGUCACAUGGUAUAUUCAGAAAGGAGAAAGUACACUUUCUAAUGGUUCCUACUUGAAUACAAUUUUCGAUUUUUUGUUGCCAAUGCAAAAACAAUAUUUGGAAUGCUACUGUUCUACUCAGCUCUCAUAUUAAAAUGUCAUCUGAUGCUCGACAGAAGUCUUAAGAGAUGUAGAGACUGAGACUCCGGGCUACUUGAUAAUGGCGAUCGGUCGCAGAAUUUCAGUCGAUCACCCAAGUUGAGAAAGGGAACCGAGUGAUUAGAGUUCCAACAAUUUUUUCUUUUCUACAUGCAGUUUAAAUGGUAAUUCUCUAUCUGAAUAACAUAAUUGGAUCUCUUUAGCAUGAUGAGAAUCUGACGGUUAUUUGUUUCCAGACACCUUUAUGUUUCAGUGAAGCAGAAAGCUUUGAAGAGUUUUUGUUUUCCCCCAUUACGGUAAUAAGAUGUCCUGUUUUGGCAGAGGAUUAACUUACACUUUUUCCCCUCCCUCUAUUGUACUUAUUCUGGCAGAUUCACUUUUGUGCAAUUUGUGUGGAGCCUCAAGGAAGAGAGUAAUGCGGAGAAAGAUUAUGGAGAAAGAUUAUCUUUUUUGUUCAUCUUUAUUAUUUGUUUCACCAUCAUCAGAACUCCAAAAACAUCAAUAUAUACUCCUCCUGCAGUGGAGAAAGAUUAUGAAGACAGAAACUUUAGACUGCUGCGUACUGCGAGUUUAAUUUUUUUUUUUUUUUCAUUUCUGGAUUUGAGGGUGUAUCCAAUCGAAUGUUGGAAGUACUUCGAAAGUAUGUUUGGUUCAGAAAUUUGUUUCCGGCAAUUCCUGUUAUUGGGACCAUGUAAACUAUGUGAUGGAUUUUUUCGAAUGCUGCUUGUGAGUUUCUUCAACAAUGCCGAACGCGCGCAAGAUUGCGCCUGAUAUCUGUUUUGUUUGUUAACUGUGAGAAUGAUGGAUUGAUUUGUGUGUGUAGCUGCUCCGCAUGCUGCGAGCAACCUUCUUAAAUGCCAUUACAGCAAAAGGUAAUGCUUGAUUUGUAUUAAGCAAUUCAGCUUCUCACUCAAUCCAGAAGCUCUAACCUAUAUCUUGUUGCCUAUGAAAUAGCUUUUGCCCCUCUAUUAGAAUAGCUACUCUAGAAGUGGUUAGCUGAAAAGAAUUGGAUUGAAAUUAAAAAGCUGAGAGAGAUGGAAGAAGUAGAAUAGUACUGAGUAGAGAGAACAUUUUGUUCUGUUUUACUCAAGAAGCUUGGGGUCUGUUUGAUUCAACCUAAAAUCGUGAAAAUUAAUUUUUCAUGGAAAAAAUAAUUAUGUUUUAUAGUGUUUGGUUUGUAGGAAACAAAUAAUUUUUCAUCAACAUUGGAAAAAAAAUCACAUUUGUUUGGUUCGCUAGGAAAAAUAAAUAAAUGGAAAAAAUUUUAUGCAGCUUGAAUUUUUGUUCGAAAAAUAAAUAAGAAAUGAGGUUAAAUGUUUAGAAUGAUAUAAUGUAUUGGUUCUUAAAUCAAUGUUGAGUUCCCUUUCUAAUUUUUCUCAGUAUAUUAUCCUAUCAAAUUAUGAUGCUGGGGCAUUUUAAGUGAGUAAAAAUCAAACUCUUAAUUUACUAUUGUAAAAUAAUUUUUUACAUUUAUUUUUAUUGGAAAACUCUUUCGGGCCUAGGCUACACAAUGCACGGUAACUAUUCUGUUUUAACUUUUUAUUUUUUAGACCGAUCGUCUCUAGAGCAAGUGGUAAAGGGCUUGAUGGUUGGUACUCGAGACAAAGUUCGAAUUCUAGUUGAUUCACAUUUCUAGCUAAGUUUAUUUCUAAAUGAAAUAAAGGAAACAGAUAUAGUACUACAGAUCUCUUUAAAAAAAAAAAAAACCUUUUAUUUUUUAGAGACAAGUAGUAUGUUAUCAUUUUCGUUUAUUUCAUUUCAAAAUAAAUUUAGCUUAAAAUAUAAAUCAACUUAGAUUCGAACUUGGGACCCCGAAUAUCAACUACCAUAUCCUUUAUCACUUCCCAUUGCUCCCUCUUUUAACUUUUCCCCUCCUCUUUUGUAGAUUCUCUUCUUUUUGGAAAGUUAAAACAAUUAAAGACCCUACCGACCAUAUCGCAAUUAAAAGAUUCCUACCUUUUUAAGGUGGCCUUGUUCCCUUAUUUUAACUUUAAUUACUGGAAUUGUCGAAUUAAAAUUUAAUAAUCUGAGACUAAAAGUGUUGAAUAUGAGAAUUUUUUUUAUGUGGUAUUCACAUAUUUUGAUCCUUUCCUUUCUGUUUUAUUCUCCAUUUACUAUCAUAUCUUCCUUACGACCGUGAGAAUAUUUCUUCCAACUUUUAUCAGAUAUCAGUCCACUGUACCUGCAAUGAGACGUGCAAAGUAGGUGCUCCCACUAAUUUGUUUCGUUUAUAAGAGGGAGCAAUCGGAAUCGGAAUUAUAUUCAAAUUAAAAUUUAAGAAUCAAAUUUCAAUAAAAAUCUAAAUUUAUUGUCUAAAUUUGUCUAAAUUCAAAUUUGAAAUUAAAAACUAAAUUUGAAUUCGGUUUUAAAAUUGUAAUUGAUUUUUAAAUUCAAUCUAAAUUAUUAUUUGAAUUUGUAAAAUUAAUUAAUGAGAGAAAAGAGAGUUUAUUUCUCAAUCCCUUCAGGAUUUAAAGUUGAUUCCCACCUUUAUAGUGAACAUCUUUUUGCGGGGGUCGAUUUUCUCCAAAAUGAAAAUCAAAAUACCAAAAUACUAAACUUAACACCAAUAAUAAAAAUGAAUCAUUUUAUUAUCAUAGCAAAUUUUAAAUCCCUCGAACCUAAAAUACCUCACUGUUUCCUCACUAUUUCUUACACCCAGUGAAUUUUCACGCUUUGAGAAUAAGCAUUGCAUGAAUUUUCAGGAAUAUUGCAAUUUUUUUAUUAAAAACUACUAUGUACUACAUUUGUGCACGUUUAGUUCAAAACAGAAAUCGAAAUCGAAAGAGAAAUAAGAAAGGGCCUGAAUCAAAAAGCAAAUAAUAAAAACAAUAAUUUGUUUGGUUCAUAAAAAGAAUCGGAAUCGAAGUCGGAAUCAAAAUUAUGUUCAAAUUAAUAUAUUUAUUAAGUUUAAAUUUGUUAUUCAAAUUUGUAAUUAAAAUUUGAAUCCAAAUUUGAACUUGAAUUUUGAAUAUACAAUUUAAGUUCAAGGUAAAAAUCAAAAUUUAAAUUCUAGAACUAUUAAAGUAAAAUUUGAAAAAUAAAAAUAAUUUGUAAAUUCAUAUUUUUAAUUCAAAUUUGAAAUUAUAAUUUAAUCUAAUAAUUUUAUAUUUAGAUUUAUAUUUGAAUUCAAAUAGUUGUUAGUGUAAAAAAAAAAUUUCUUUCCUCGAUCACUUCGGAAUCAAAGUUAAUUCCCACUUGUAACGAGAGUCACUUUUGAGGGAUUUGGAUCUCUUCGGAAUAGAAAUUGGAAUGCUAAUAUCUCAAUCUAAACACUAAUAAUGGAAAUGACUUAUUUCCACUUUUAUUAUAAAUCUCAAAUCCUACAAACAUUCAAACAUGCUCUAAAGGUUUAAAAAUAAACAGCUAUUUCAAGAGAUUUGAAAACAAAGACUUGUAAGAAACCACUAAGCUAGCUAGCUUAGGGUUUGGUACUCAAACAUUGACUAAGAGAUACAGGGGUUGGAUGUGUUUUUCGUUAUUUUCUAAAACAGGGGAAUAAUAAUAAUAAUAAAUUAACUCUAAAAAAAACAAGAAUUUAUUAUAAAAAAAUUUGAGUUAUUGCUAAGGCUUCGUUUGGGAUUACGGAAAGAUUGCGUUACGUAUGGUGAGAAAUGACGAUGAAAAAAUACCAUAUUUAUUUCCGUACGUAAUAUUAUGUUCCGCAUAUUGUAUUUAGUCGAUUACGAUAUAUUUUAUGCAGUCUCAUCAGAGAACGCAAAAAUAUAUCACUAUAUAUUUUUUCUCAACUCUAUUUUAUAAGUACUAAACUAAACUAAGCCUAAGUCUCAUAAUCAGUUUAACAAGUAGUAGUUAACUCUGCAGUUGGAGGUCGUUGAUCAAGAAACGAAAUCAACGGUAGCCACACCCAACAUCUCAGUGGUUAUGACGGCUCGGGCUUACGAAUCUUCCACUAUUAUUCUGUAAAUAAUAAUAAUGGUAAUAUAAGAAUAAAGCUAAUUUUUUUAAAAAAAAACAACAACAACAAUUUUUUUACGCCGUACAACCGCCUUACAUUUCUGCCACGUGUUCCUUAAUAUCUACGCCCCAUGCAAUUGCACGGGAAAAAAUUUCUAUGUCGCUCCUCCGUGAGAUCCCGAAACAACUUUUGCAGUACGAUAUUGCUUGUUGGUGGGAUCGGCCACCCAACUCUGAACCGUCGCACCAAAAAAAGAAAAUGAUCAAAUUUAAAUUGUAUCUUUAAAAGUGAAUUGUUAUUUGUUAUUUUUUUAAAAAUUAAUUUAUAGUGGAGAGUGGGAGUGGAGGUGAGUGAGUCCAAUUUAAUGCACUCUUUAUAACUCGGGCGCCCACCCAAUCCCAUGUACGCUCCCUCCCCACCACCCCCUCCCCAUUGAAUGCCUAUAUUUACAGGAGGGGCGCCCUUUUAAUUCCUACACAAUUAGGUGCCCUCGUAUUUAUUAGACCCCGCCCAUUUGCCCAUUUCCUACACAAAAUUAGGUGACCCAGCCAUGCCAUGCACCCUUCUUCUUUGUUCCACCCCUUAAUAUCUUAUAUCUUAUAUACAUAUACUAGUGAAAGAGUCCGCGCUCUGCAGCGGGUAAAACUAUAGGAGUAAUUAAUAAUAAGAGAACAUCAGAUGAUGACGCCUUCUCCAAGGAUGAUGAUAGUAAAGAUGACGAUAAUCCAUUCAGCCGCUGCCGAGAGGGAAGAUAUAUAGGCACGCAUUAGUAAGAAAGAGAGGGAGGGAGGCGACGGUGUAUAGGAAAAGAUGAGGAAAAAAAAAUUAAUGAAUUAAUUGGAGAUGAGAAGAUGCGGAUUGUAGAUGGCAGUGGAUGGUUUGGAUGCAUUAAUUAGAAGUCUGGUGUAGAAAAGGGAAAGGAUUAUAACGAAUUAAUUGGAGAGAUAAGUGAAAAUUGUAGAUUAUAGCGAAACUAUUUAAAUGCAUUAAUUAAAAAUUUGGUAGUGAAAAUAUUUAGAUGUAUUAAUUAAUUGCAUUAAUUAAAAGUUUGACGAAGGAAAUGUUGAGGGUCAAAUGCUGGUGAGGGUGAAGGACAACUUGCCAUAUGGCAAAGAUUAUUGGGGAUUCAUAUAAGUUAAUUAAUAGAUAGGUCAAAUACUGGUGAGGGUGAAGGACAACUUGCCAUAUGGCAAAAAUUAUUGGAGAUUCAUAUAAGUUAAUAUAUAUAUAUAUAUAUAUAUAUAUAUAUAUAUAUAUAUAUAUUAUUAUUAUUAUUAUUAUUAUUAUUANNNNNNNNNNNUAUAUAUUAUUAUUAUUAUUAUCUCGAUCUUCUCCGCUGGCUCAACGUUAAUUGCCAACAUAAAAUUUUUCCUCUUUUUUUUUAAAGAAAAAAAGAAAAAAGAAGCUAGUCCGGUGCACGGGGCACCACCACAUUGGAGAGCAGCUACGUACACAGCAAAUGUACAUAGUUGUUGAUCAUCUCUCUCUCUAUUUGUUUCUAAUAUUAUAUGUAUGGAAGUGGAACUCAAUCGAUCCCUCCCUCUCUCUCUCUCACUCUUCUUACCUCUCUGUCUUUCAUUUUGCUCCCAACGACCUCUGACAGCAAUUAAUGGCGGCUUAGGCAGAUAUCCAGCUCAAAGAGCACCAAGUUAGAUCAUAAAGAUAGGGAGAAAGAGAGAGGGGGUGGGGGGUGGGGGAGAGACAUGAAAAGGUAAGAGGGGAGGGUGGUAGAUGGUGAAGAACCCGAAGGAAAUUAAACGCGCAGUGGCGUAUUAAAUGCCUCCCCCCACCCAUCACCUCCACCACCACCACCACCUCCACCACCACCCUUUCUAAUUCUAUAAAACUUGCUCCCUGUGUCUUCUACUCCUCCACUACUCCAUGUGAUCUCACCACCUAUAUAUGACCACCACGUUCGCUAGCUAGCUGAUUUGUGUCCUGCACGUGAAUAUAUAUAUAUAUAUAUAUAUGACUAGCUAAUUAGCAUAUGCUGCUGCUGCUGCUGCUGCUGGGCGCUGCUGCUGCUGCUGCUGCUGCUGCUGCUGCUGGUGGUACUAGUAGUACUGGUAGUAGUAGUACUAGUAGUAGUAGUAGUAGUAGGAUGAUGAUGAUGAUGAUGAUGAUGAUGGAGGAGUACUGGUCGGGGACGUGGGCGGCGGUGGCGUUGGCGUUGGGAGCGGCGUACAUGGCGUGGUUCUGGCGGCUGGCGCGGGGGCUGCGCGGGGGGCCGCGGGUGUGGCCGGUGGUGGGGAGCCUGCCGGGGCUGGUGCAGAACGCGGAGCGCAUGCACGAGUGGAUCGCCGGGAACCUGCGUGGCGCCGGGGGCACGUACCAGACCUGCAUCUGCGCGGUGCCGGGGCUGGCCCGGCGGGCGGGGCUGGUGACGGUGACGUGCGACCCGCGCAACCUGGAGCACGUGCUCAAGUCGCGCUUCGACAACUACCCCAAGGGCCCCACCUGGCACGCCGUCUUCCGCGACCUGCUCGGCGACGGCAUCUUCAACUCGGACGGCGACACCUGGCUGCUCCAGCGCAAGACCGCCGCCCUGGAGUUCACCACCCGCACCCUCCGCCACGCCAUGUCCCGCUGGGUCGCCCGCUCCAUCCACCUCCGCCUCCUCCCCAUCCUCUCCCACGCCGUCGACGCCCGCUCCCCCGUCGACCUCCAGGACCUGCUGCUCCGCCUCACCUUCGACAACAUCUGCGGCCUCGCCUUCGGCAAGGAUCCCGAGACGCUCUCCCCCGGCCUGCCCGAGAACGCCUUCGCCGUCGCCUUCGAUCGCGCCACCGAGGCCACCCUGCAGCGCUUCAUCUUCCCCGAGUUCGUCUGGCAGUUCAAGAAGCGCCUCCAGUUCGGCAUGGAGGCCACGCUCGCCAGCAGCGUCGCCCACGUCGACCGCUACCUCUCCGCCGUCAUCAAGGCCCGCAAGCUCGAGCUCGUCUCCUCCUCCUCGCCCUCGCCCUCGCCCUCGCCCGACCGCCACGACGACCUCCUCUCCCGCUUCAUGAAGAAGGGCUCCUACUCCGACGACUUCCUGCAGCAGGUCGCGCUCAAUUUCAUCCUCGCCGGCCGCGACACCUCCUCCGUCGCCCUCAGCUGGUUCUUCUGGCUCGUCUCCACCCACCCCCCCGUCGAGCGCCGCAUCCUCGUCUACCUCAAGGCCGCCCUCUCCGAGACUCUCCGCCUCUACCCCUCCGUCCCCGAGGACUCCAAGCACGUCGUCGCCGACGACGUCCUCCCCGACGGCACCUUCGUCCCCGNCCUCCUCCGUCGCCCUCAGCUGGUUCUUCUGGCUCGCCUCCCCGCUCGCAUUCGAGGAGGUCGACCGCCUCGUCUACCUCAAGGCCGCCCUCUCCGAGACUCUCCGCCUCUACCCCUCCGUCCCCGAGGACUCCAAGCACGUCGUCGCCGACGACGUCCUCCCCGACGGCACCUUCGUCCCCGCCGGCUCCUCCGUCACCUACUCCAUCUACUCCGCCGGCCGCAUGAAGUCCGUCUGGGGCGACGACUGCCUCGAGUUCCGCCCCGAGCGCUGGCUCAGCCCCGACGGCACCAAGUUCGAGCCCCACGACUCGUUCAAGUUCGUCGCGUUCAACGCCGGCCCGCGCAUUUGCCUCGGAAAGGACCUCGCCUACCUCCAGAUGAAGUCCAUCGCCGCCGCCGUCCUGCUGCGCCACCGCCUCGCCGUCGUCCCCGGCCACCGCGUCGAGCAGAAAAUGUCCCUCACGCUCUUCAUGAAGCACGGCCUCAAAAUGCACGUCGCCGCGCGCGAUCUCAAUCCGAUCGUCGCCGAGCUACGCCGGACACGCCCGGAGGCCUUGGCCGCGCCGCCGCCGGAGAGUCAAGUGAACAAAAGCAGUGCCGUUCCUACGGAGGUUGCAGCUGUUACCGCCUAAUUAAAGUGCAUUUUCUUUUUCCCCUUUUUUUUUCUAAAAAAAAAUUGUUCUUCAAAUUAAUUGGAAUAUAUUUUAGAAUACUGUGGGAAAGUGAGCUGGGUUGGUGUAAUGUAGAUAGAUAGUAAGUAAACAAGUUGGUGUGAGAUUUGGGGUCAAGGGGGAAGAAAUUAAUUAAUGGACAGUGUGUCUAGCUCUAUUCAGAUCAUUAUCUUUAUUACUAUAAUUGUUAUAAUUGGGAGAAAACCAGAGUUUGAUGUCACUUUUAAAGAAUAAUAUAAAUAAAAAGAAGCAUCGGAAUUGGGAUGUAACAUUUGUUGUGGUGGUUAAAAUGUGAACGCCACCAAUCUUAGAAAGUUUAUGAAAGAAACGAUUGUAUCCUUUUAAUUGGAAGCAUUUAUUUUUUUUUGAGGCAUUCAAUUUUGUCCUAGUAGGGUAUCUGAAUUUCCUCCCGCUAAUGGGGCCCAUCUAUUUAAUUAAUUAAAUGAGCAAAUAUAUAUAAAUAUAUAUAGACAUUACAUAAUGAUGUAUUAAUUUCUACAAUCUGUAAAUAUGUAUAUUGGAAUUAGUUACCGUUGUUAAAAUAGUGUGGCCCAUUUUUUUAUUCCCCAUUUAUUUAACAUGCAUUUACAAUUAUUUAAUUAAUCUCGGGUGUCAUUAUUAUUAUUUUUUUCAAGUAACAUCUUAUCCACUUUGUUAGUUGUUUUAAAAAUAAACUUAACUAUAAAUGCGAAGCAGUUAGGUUUCUAAUUUGUAAUCAAUCUCGACUAUCAACCGUCGAAUUUCUAACCAACUGCGUAAGGUACAGUCGGCGAUGUUGUUGCCGAUGUUGAAGACGUUAAUGACUCUGUUUGAAAUAGCAGGAGAAUGCAUUGUGGACGAACAGUGAGGAAACACAAUAAAAAGUAUUUUAUUUUAUUUUUGCAAAUAAUAUCACAUUGCACAUAUCAUAAUCAUUAGUUAUAAUAUAUUUUUCGUUGUAUGUUGAAAAAAAUGAAGACACAUAUUAUUUAUAAUUUUAUUCUAACUCUAUUUGGUUUAAUAAUGAGCAUUAGAUAGACCUUAAUACUUAAGCACUCUUUAUUGACUGUCGGAGGAUUCAAAAGCUAUGGCCUAAAGAGGGGAAUACCAAUCAUUUAUUCUAAGUGGCUGUGAUAAUUCUUUAGCAUUUUGCAAGGUCUUGUUGCAGGGAAAAAGGAAAAAGUUUCUAAUAUAAUAAACUUUAACUUUUUUAAAAUUGUACUUAAUUUGAUUUAUUAAUAAAUUAGCUUUAACUUAGUUAGUACAAUAAAAUUUCCUAAUAAACUUCUAUUGCAAUUACCGACCAUUCCUAGAGCAAGUGGCAGAGGGCUUGGUAGUUGGUACCCGAAACCCAAGUUCGAAUUUUAGUUGAUUCACAUUUCCAGCUAAUUUUAUUUCUAAAUGAAAUAAACGAAGCGGGUAGCGUGCUCUCACAAAANAGAAAUUCACUAAGAAAUUAUUUAUCAGCAACAAAUGAAUUGUUUGUAACAAAAUAUUAGAAAAUAAUAGACUCAGUCUGUAAAAAAAAAAAAAAAAAAAACUAAAAAUAGGAGAACUUAGGAGUAAUCUUGCUCCAAAGUCCAAAACACACUAGAAUUUUGCUCUUAAAAAAAAAAAAAAUUAAUCGUAAUAUAAGGUCACUCACUAAUCCCAAGAAAUGAGCGAAUCAGUGACCACCCUUAAAACUAUAAUUAUUUUAAAGGCAUAUUGCGUACACCACUAACCACAAUUGCGUUGAUUAAGCGCUAAAGCCAUUACAUAAACAGUUUACGCAUUACUUAAGGCCACAAAUUAAUCCCUCUAUGGCCACUAUGACCACUUGUGGGGUCCCACACAAUCACGAGGCCCAUGUGGUGCCACGUAGGAUUUCAAGUCUCACUGUGAGUAGCAAAAAGGAGUGCCGCGCAUAAGAUCGAUUUGUUUUAUUUAAUUAUUUUCUUAAUUAGUAAUUUUGUGCACAAACUGGAGAUUAGUUAACAGACGGUCGAGAUUGAAUGCCAAUAGUAGGACGGUUUUGAUAAAUUUCCAUAUAAUUUCAUACAAAUAUUAGAUAAAUGAAUAAUUAAUUAAUAUAUAAUAUUAAAUCUAAGUCCAUAAAUAUAAGAUUUUGACUUUGUUAGGUUUUAAUAAAUAAUAAUAUCAUAUUUUCAGACGUUGUGAUGCUUAAUCUGAGGUUGGAACUUUCCGAAAACUUAAGAUACAUUACAUAGAGAAUAUUUUGACUUUGUUAGGUUUUAAUAAAUAAUAAUAUCAUAUUUUCAGACGUUGUGAUGCUUAAUCUGAGGUUGGAACUUUCCGAAAAUAAUAUUUAAAUUUGAUGGUCAAAAUAUUCUCUAUGUAAUGUAUCUUAAGUUUUGUACAUCACAAUGAAAGUCUAUAUUCUAUGACAACAAAUAGCUUAUAGAUAAUAAUUAAUAAAAUUAAGAAUUUAAUCGUCAAAUAAAAAAAAUUACUAAUAGAGUUAUUCAUGUAUUAAUGCAAAUUAAUCCAAAUGGGAAUUUUUUUUAAUUAAGAUCAAAAUAAGCCGAUCGAAUCGACCGAACCGAACCGGUUGGACCCUGCUAAACCCGAUCCAAAGUGAUUUACCGACCAUUAUCGCCUCCUUCUUUUCCGAGUCGGAUUCGGUUCCGACCCGAAGAGCACGUCCUCCUCCAAGUCUCCGACAAACCCUAACCAACUCUCCGAACCUCUCUCUCUCUCUCUCUCUCUCUAUCUAUCUCUUUCUCUCUCUCCGCUCCGUCUCGCUCACUCGCUCUCUCCGUUCGAUUCGGUGCCCUCCUCCUUUUGCACUCUCCUCUCUCUCUCUCUCUCUCUCUCAAUUCUCUAAGCUAAGAAGCAGGUGAGUGGAUCUCUCACUCGAAUCACUACUCACUUUACUCUCCGAUCUCUACUCUUUUUUUUUUUUUCAUUUUUUGGGUAGUUUAGUAGAUCUAAUAUUUUUUUGUUGGGGGGGGGAGGGGGAGGUGGUAAAGUUAAUCUAUUUUCAGGUUGAUUUCCUAUUUUUUUUAAGAUCUGUUUUGGAACGGAUUGGAUCUGUUGGAUUCCUGUUUCUUUUCAUGUUUUUUGUUUGAUUUUUUUUUUUUUGUAUAAUUAGUUGCUUGUCGUAGUGUAUCUGAAACAAGGUUAAGAAGAUCAUUCCAUAGUAAAGUGUCGAUUUUUGUCGGAUUCUUCGGUGGUUGAUGCUAAGGGUGGGAUUUUAUACUGAGUGAGAAGUUUUGAGAAGUUUUAAGACUCAGUCAAAAGAUAGGAUAGUGAAGUUGCUAUACUAAUUAAAUAAUUUUACCUUUUCUUUUUGUCUAUGAAAGGUUAUGCAAAAGUUUUAAGGAGGUUUAUUUAUGGUUGAAACUUAUGAUUGUUGACUUGGUUUCAUCCUCAGUAGGAAAAGAGGGAUGGUAGCAGGCACAGUCAAAGUCAGGGCCAUAUCUGAAACGAGUUCCAGAAAAAAAAAAAAAAAAAAAGAGUUGAAAGAUAUUGAGUUAAAUUUAGUAUGUGAGGAUAGAUUUGUAGAAUAGCGAGAACUUCUAAAAGAGGAUUGAGAAGAAGGGACUAAGUACUUUUGAUUAUAAGAUUAGUAUAGGAGAUAUUGAUAUAGAUGGAUAUGGGAGAAUCCAGUGGAAAGAGAACGCUGAGUAGUUGAUGAGAUGAAUGAGAUAAGAAAUAAUAGCUUAUGCUUUGGUAGAAACUGAAUUACCAAAAGGGCAUGGUUAAUUUGUUCGCAUAGGACGACAGAUUAGCACGGAAUAGCAGAAAAAAAAGAUUAUUAUUCAGUUAGGAAAUAAAAAACCAAAUAAAUUAGAACAUUUUUUUUUUCAAAAAAGAACAUAUUGUACUUUUCAAUAAAUUUAAGUUUAGUAUAGUAUUUCAUAUGCAUAAAACAGACAAAGUCGGUAAGAGUUUUUAACUUAAUUUAUCUUCAGAUUUUUCCACUGAUAUUCUGAUUUGCCUCUUGCUAUUGACAUCUCCUUUUCAUCUGUGUUGAUACCAAAAUCUUUAAAAUUCUGGCAUCUUAUUUGUCUGUUUAUGAAUAGUUUUAGUUCCUCAUGUUGCUUGAUGUUGUAGGAUUUCUCCCUUUGUGCCUUGGAAGAACUGCUACAUUGAUCCUUUCUGCUAUCGUAUGUUAUUAGCUUCCUAAGAUAUGUAAAAUGCUUUCUUUUUCAGGGGGAAAAAAGGCGCUGCCUGCAAAAUAGAGUAAAUUGAAUGAUAAUCCAUUGUUUGGGGGCAUCCUAGUUAAUUUGGUGCCUUUCUUCUUGUGGAUUCUUACUGAAAGUUGCCUCAAACAGUCCUAUGAAUUUGGUCUUGAAAUAUUUAGUGGAUAUUGUUUCUCAAGUACAUAAAAAUGACUAGGUAGCAAGUUUGUAAAUUGACUGAAAGGAAUACUAGCUCUUUCAAUAUUUAAGAUGCCAUCUUGGUGGGGAAAAUCUUCCUCCAAGGAUGUAAAGAAGAAAUCAAAGGAAAAUUUCAUUGAAACAUUGCAUCGAUUCAUAAGUUCAACUGAACAAAAGGGAAAUACAAAGUCGGGAGGGACUCGUAAACGUAGCAGCGACAUAACAUCAGCAAAGGGCUCUCAAUCUAGGGCAGAAUCACGUUCGACAUCACCCUCUAAAGAAGUUUCUCGCUGCCAAAGUUUUCAAGAUAGGCCGCAUGCACAUCCACUUCCUCUUCCUGUUCUUCGGUCUGGCAUUACAUGCACGUCCUCUGAGGUCAGCACAUCAAAGCUGACAGAAAAACGGGGCAAACCACAGCUGCGUUUACCACUUCCUACCCCCAAUUGCGUUAUAAGAAGGCCGGAAACCACUGCUAUCGAGGGAGAUUUGGCUACUGCUUCUGUUUCUAGUAAUUGCUCCGUUGAUAGCGAUGAUCGAGCAGAUUCUCAGCUUCCCAGCCCUGUAGGGAAUGAUAUAGAAAAUGGGAAUAGGGUUAUCACAAACAAUCAUUCCAGGUAUGUUUCGUGUAACUUAAUGAUCAUUUUGAGUCCUUUCUAUCUACUAUAAUGAUCCCCUUACAGCUUUCUCUUCUCUCUUUUUGCAGUACUGUGCUUAAAGAUCAGUCUAUGGUCACUACUCGGAAGAACUCAAGACAAAUUGCUAAGCCCCCCAUGAUUUGUCUUGGUAACCAAAAUUUAUCCACAUCACCCAAGAAGGGGAUCGAGAACUACCAACCCAAUUUACAGAAUCCUCGGCAGGGGGCUUUUGGAAGUGCGCCUGAUAGUUCGAUGUCUAGUCCUACUAGAAGUCCUCUAAGAAUAUGCCCUGAUCAGAUUCCAACCUCUGCUUUUUGGGCAGCAAAGCCUCACACUGAUGUCACUUUCCUUAGUUCUGGCCAGUGCUCUAGUCCAGGUUCAGGUCAGACGUCAGGACACAAUUCGGUCGGAGGAGACAUGCUGGGUCAGUUAUUCUGGCAGCCCAGCAGGGGUAGCCCAGAAUGUUCUCCGAUACCUAGCCCAAGAAUGACGAGUCCUGGCCCUAGUUCUAGAAUACACAGUGGACCUGUUUCUCCAUUGCAUCCGCGGGCCGGAGGGACAGCGCCCGAAUCACCUACAAGUCGCCAUGAUGAGGUGAAGAAGCAAUCCCAUAGACUGCCACUCCCGCCAAUAAGUGUCUCUAACAGUUCUCCUUUUUCUCCGAACAAUUCAACAUCAAAUAGCGCUCUCCCUAUUCCUCGUAGUCCUGGAAGGACAGAUAAUCCCCCGAGCCCUGGUUCACGGUGGAAGAAGGGGAGGUUCAUUGGCCAUGGCACAUUUGGCCAUGUUUAUGUUGGCUUUAAUAGGUAUUUUCAUUUUGCCUCUGCUCCUCAUUGGUCACUUUUAACUUGCAAUUUUGUUUUUCGAUCUUAUUUAUCUGGCUUGUGGUAGUUUCUCUACUAUAUCGCAUGAUUGAUUGUAUUUUACUAGUUUUCUAUCUACAUCUACCUUUUUUUUUUUGCCUUUUUAUUCCAUCGUUCUUAUUAUAAACCAUCGUGCUUAUUGUACAAAGUAAUCUGGUCUUGUUUUUUCAGCCCACUGAUUAUAAGUUUAAGAGACUGUUUCAUACAUUCUUAAUGUACUUCUAUUUGUACUUACUCGAUCUUUGUUUUCGCUUCUUUUUCCUUUCCAUUUGAACUAGUGAGAGUGGCGAAAUGUGUGCAAUGAAGGAGGUUACCCUCUUCUUGGAUGAUGCUAAGUCAAGAGAAAGUGCGAAGCAAUUGGGACAGGUAAAUUGGUUGGCCAUACUUGUUAUCAGUUAUCUCAUGUUACAUGCUAGGCAAAUCUGCCAUUUUCCUCGUGGUUUAGGUAUGCUUUUUUUAAUUGUUUGAUUCUUUUCACAGGAAAUAUCUCUCUUGAGUCGGUUGCGGCAUCAGAAUAUAGUGCAGUAUUACGGAUCUGAGAUGGUAUUAAAUUUACUCGUAGUGGUUUUCACUUUAAAUGUGAAAAAGUUUUAGUACUUUUCUUCUUUCAAUUGCCUGUUCUCACUUUAUUAUCUGCUAAGCAGAUAGAUGACAAGUUAUAUAUAUACUUGGAGUACGUCUCUGGUGGUUCCAUCCAUAGACUUCUCCAAGAAUAUGGCCAAUUUGGAGAGCCAGUACUUCGUAGCUAUACUCAACAGAUCCUUUCUGGCUUAGCUUAUUUGCAUGGAAAGAACACCGUUCAUAGGUACUAUCUAACUUCUUACACAGUUAACUACUAUUCUUUCUUCUGCUUGGAUCUGUGCUGUUCACCUUACACUAGAUUCUUAUGCUUCUAGUUAUUCUUUUGUUGAGCCUGCAGAGAUAUUAAAGGUGCAAACUUACUGGUUGACCCCAAUGGUCGAGUUAAGCUGGCAGAUUUUGGGAUGGCGAAACAUGUAAGGAUAGAAUUUGCUAACCCUUUUAAUGCUGUAAAUAUUUUCAUAUGAUCCCUAUACUGUUGUGAUUCUAAAUAUUCAUCUGAAAACACCUAUGAUUUUGUGCGCAUAGAAUUUUGAUGCACCCCUGCCAAAUAUUUCUCCCUGUUAACCUGUAAUUAUUACUUCUUUUUUUUUCAUUUGUAUAUAUUCUUGAUUGAUCUAUUUACGUGAUGUCCUCUCACUUUUUCUAUAAAUGAUCUUUGUUGAAGUUAUACAAGGAGAGUAAAAAAUGGAAACCAUUAGAUUGUUGCUGCUUGAAAGUUUUACCUAAAAUUUGUAUAUCACUCUUGUUUCAGAUUAGUGGACAAUCAUGUCCCUUAUCGUUCAAGGGAAGCCCAUAUUGGAUGGCACCUGAGGUAAUCUUGUUUUAAGGUUUUUGAGCCCUCUUUAUAUUUGUAAAUCAUAAGCUCGUUGUUUGUAGUUACUGUACUAUUUUUUAUGUACAGGUUAUCAAAAAUACAAAUGGCUGCAGUCUUGCUGUUGAUAUUUGGAGCUUGGGGUGCACGGUUCUGGAAAUGGCCACUUCAAAACCACCAUGGAGCCAGUAUGAAGGGGUUGGCACUUCACACUUUGGUGGUUAAUAAUUUAUUUUACAUACUAACCUUGUUUUUACCUUAUGAAUAUUUGCCUAUAAGGAAGGGUGGUAACAUUUUGUUUCAUUUUCUCUAGGAUUUUUAUCGUGCGAUGUUAUUAAGCUGUUGAGCCCAACAAGGCUAGUUUAGCUAAUUGACCUUGAAAACUUGGCUUGAGUUUGGUUAUAAGUAGGACUCUCAAGCUGAGCUCUAGUGCCUUGCUCGAAUGUGCUCUGUUGACCCCCGCGGCCCCCAAAACACCCCCACCCCUACCCCAGACCGUGGCAUUUUUUAUUAUAUGUUUCAUUUACUAUGUCAUUUAUAGCUCCAACAAAAAAAUGCUAGUAUUUUGUUAAUAAACGACCUAAUUAAUUGCCUGUAUUAUAUUUUUGUCCUCCUGGAACUGAUGUUAAAUUUAAAAUUCCCCUUACAUAUCUCCUGGAUCAAGGAAGAGAAAUCAAAGAAAUUAUUUACCGCACUGUGCUUAGACAAAUGGUUAUUCUUUUGCCUAAUUUUGAGUUGGUUUAACAUUGUCAUGCUUUGGUCUACAGAUUGCAGCUAUGUUCAAGAUAGGAAACAGCAAGGAGCUUCCAGCAAUCCCUGAUCAUCUGUCGGGGGAAUGCAAAGAUUUUGUCAGGCAGUGUCUUCAGCGUGAACCGUCUAAACGCCCUACAGCAGCAGAGCUUUUGCAGCAUCCUUUUGUCAAAAAUGCAGCUCUGCCUGAUAAAUCUAUUGCUGCUCCUGAUCCUUUAGAACGGAUUCCUGGUGUAUCCAAUGGGCCAAUCCUCACGGUACUGUUAAUGCAUGUUCAUCUUAUUCCUCACUUAUUUGUUAAUAGAAGAUCUUAUCAUACUAGUUAAUUUUAUCGACAAUGGUCUUAUAUCUGCUGUCAAGUUGCAAGUUUGCAAUCAUUUCCUCACACAACUUAAUGAAGUCCCUAAGUCCUUGUCAAUGCCCGUUCUCAUGUGGUGAAGGGUGUAUUCCCUUCUGUUUAAAUAACAUGAGAUUUGGAACAAAAUGUUGCUAGUCAUGUUCAUUUCCCUGGGGAAUAAUUGACCUUAAAUUUAUUAUUCUUAAGAAACCGUAACUCCUCAGAUUUAAGCAAUCAUCAUGUAAUGAUCAUGAGAUUGAUUCUUUGUCAUUAAGAUCGCCAAACUGCAUAUGCUGUCUUAGACUUUGAUGCUUACUGCUUAGUCAUGAAUGCGUCCUGCAUGCAUUUGCUUUCUUUCGAUUAAAGAAAUACUUAGAAGUCUUUUUACAUCUUUUUGGUUGUUAAUCCAAAUAUAUUGUUCUACAAGCUGUAACUCUGAUGAAAGGUCAAUCAACAUUUGUGGUUUCCAUACUUUUCUAUUUAUUUGUAUAUGAUUUUCUGAGCUGAGAAAGAAUAAAAUCUUAAACUGUUUAAGUUCAUUAGUUUUCAAUCCUACAACCUUCACCGUUUUCUGAAUAUGGCAUAAUCAUCGUCAUUUGUUCAACAUAUUUCAGGGUAUCGGGCAUGCAAGAAAUCUUUCUUCCUUGGGUAUGGAAGGAUUGACAAUCCAACAGAGAAGAGGUGCUAAAGCGGCGGCAUUUUCGUGGUACGUUGUCAAAUAUUUUUCCUUUCGUUUUGGUUCAACAUGAUACCAUAAAUAUUAUUUGGCUGUCUUCAUUUGCACGUCCAGUGAGAUUCACAUACAGAAGAACAUAUCCUGUCCCGUCUCUCCCAUUGGAAGCCCUCUUCUGAAGUCAAGGUCUCCACAAAAUAUGAAUGGAAGGAUGUCCCCUUCUCCCAUCUCAAGCCCUAGAACUACGUCAGGUGCUUCCACACCUUUGACCGGUGGGAAUGGAGCUAUCCCAUUUAAUCAUCAAAAGCAUUCAUCGUACCUUAGCGAUGGCUUCACAACUCCAUCAACAAGGUCACCUAAUGAUCUCUAUCCCGGUGGGUCCCAGUCUCACGAUCCAGAGCUCGAUCUUUUCCUUGGGGUGACGCAAGGCUCACCCCUUCCUCAAUUUGGGAAGUUGGGGCAUGGAAAUGUGUGGGACUCAUAUGACAGGCAGUCGUUUGCUGAUAAUGCCCCUCGUCAAUUCGUGAGAGAACACGGGAGGCUAAACCCCUCCCUGGAUCUUAGACCCGGUUCUCCAAAACGUGGUAUUUAAAUUUGCAAAUUUGUAUCAUACUGCCCGAAGACGAUUCUAAUAUAAUUUUUUGAAAAUUGGAGGAUGCGAUUAAAGGAAAAUUGUCAUCUGCAUCGAGUUCAUUUUGGUGAGUUGCUUCCUUCUCGCCUUCCUCUCUCACUAAAGCUUGGUAGUACCAGACCUUAACGAUACUUUUAACUCCGCGAUCUUGAUAAUAGUUCUCUGUUUUCCUUCGUUUUUUUUUUUGUGUGUGUAUUACAGUAGUCUUAUACUCGAUGAUUAACUGCGGAAUAUGCAUCUCUAUAAUCUUGUGCUGCGAAAGGAACGCACCAGUUACUGUCGGCAGGUGAACUGUAUAUUGUAACUUCCCAUGUUCCUGAAGGGCUGGAAAAUCAAAGGUUUGUACCUCUAUGCUCCUCUUUUCUCUAUUUUAUCCUUAAAUGGGAGGCCGUUGUAUAGAAGACGGGGGAUCUCAAUCGAAGCGUCCACAUUUUGCACAGGAGGAGACAAUUUGAGCCUUUCAAUGCCUGUUUAGUUAUAUGAUACUUUUUCUUCUCAUGCUGCAAACUGCAUUUGUCCUAUGGCCAUCUGUACACUAGAACUCUCUAACUUAAUGGCGCUUUUUGUAUCAAUAGACACGCUUGCGGAAAUUUAUUCCAAGGCCCUGAUAUUCUUUGUUUAUAUCAUUAAUUUCUUUCUUCUGUUUUUUCCUAUCUUUAAUUCGCAUUGGUACAGUGUUCGGUGGUUCUUGGGAUGAGUUUAUCAGUAGUUGCAUUAGGGUUCUGUUGUUCUUCUCCAGCUAUUGUUGCUAACUCUGCGCAAUUCAGAAUAUAUAUUUGAGUUCUCUUGGACUUUAUUCCCCGUUCUGUACCUGUGAUCUUAGUUCAUUUGAACGUGUAGUUGGUGUUGCGUUUUUUUUCUUUCUUUUUUCUUUUUUUUUUGACACUGCGCUCCCCGAUAAAGUGCUUCUGAGAAAUGAACUUGAAUUUAAUGUUUCCGGAAUUGCUUUUUAGAUCAUCUCCUUUGGCCUGCUCCUCCGUCCUUUUUUUUAUCUUUGUCUUUUAGGCUUCCGAUUCAAUUUCAGUCACAAAAUUCACGUGCCGGGCGAAAAAUUGAAAUAAAAAUUUAAAAAAAAUUCCGAAGGUAUUUAAGGGUGUAUAGUGACUCUGUUUUAACACAUAUUUAGGUUCGUGAAGUGAGAUUCCACUCAAAAGAAGCGGUAGCUAAUCCGUACUAGCUAGUCAAAACAGUUAUAAGCAUAUAUAUUACUAUUAAUAAUCCAGAAAAAAAUGUCUGGAAACUUGAACUUAUUGGACUCUACUGUUAACGAGUACGGUAAACUAUCACUACGGGAAAAAAAAAAAAAAAAAAAAAAAANAGGAAGUUCCAGAAAAAAAAAAAAAAAAAAAAAAAGAGUGGGGGAAAAAGUAAUAAACGAUGGGAAAUAUAAAGAGUUGAAUUAAUUCAGCAAAGAAAAUUUAAACUCAACAGCAAUAAUAUUAAGGGAAUUUGUCUAGGUAGUAGCUUUACGCCAAGCACUUUAUUCAUAUAUUUUGAAGAAUCAGAUAUCUUAUUGUCACGUUCUGUAAUAUUAUUUGAAAUUCUUGGACAAUUUUUUUGGUUUAAUCAAAGCCAUUAAUAGCUGCCCGUUUCGCUUUUCUCGCCAGCUUUUGAAAAAGUAGCGAGAACUACUUAAAAAUUUUUAAGAUUCUGUUUGAACAUCGAAAUAAUUUAUUUGGUAUAAAAAUUUUUUAGUAUAAGCAUAAGCAACUAAUUUAAUUUUCACUUUUUGAAAGGUCAACAUAUUUAUAAUUUUAUAAAAUAAUAUAUUUUACCUACAAGAGGUGAUAUAACUUAUCUAAAAAAUAACUAGAAGAACUAAUAUAGCAUCCAAUUUGUGACAUUUAAUCACACUCUUCCUCUAUCAAAUAUGCAAUUUUUUAAAAUAAAUAAAAAGAUACAUUGAAUAAAAUAUUCAUGCAUCUAAACAAAGUUUAUUUUAAAUUUUUGGAAAAACUUCAAAAAUCCCCCUUGUGGUUUCACUCUUUCUCACUUUAGUAUCCUGUGGUUUAAAGUGUAUCAAGUUUGUAUCCUGUGGUUUUGCACUUUUUCAUUUUAGUACCCUGUGGUUUAAGGUGUAUCAAUUUAGUACGUUGUGAUUUCGCAUUUUCUCACUUUAGUACUCUGUGGUUUCGCACUUUCUCACUUUAGUACCUUGUGGUUUAAAAACCACAUGGUACUAACUUGAUACAAAAAUAAAACCACAUGACACUAACUUGAUACACUUUAAACCAUAGGGUACUAAAGUGAGAAAGUACGAAACUAUAGGGUACUAACUUGAUACAUUUUAAAUCAUAGAAUACUAAAAUAAAAAAGUGCGAAAUCACAGAAGGAUUUUUAAGUUUUCCUUUUUUUUUUUUAAAGUUAAGAUAGAAUUUUUUCGGCAAAAAUAAAAAAGGCAAAAUAAAGAACUGUCCAAAAGCCCAUUUAAGUUUUCAUCACGGUAAGAACGUCUGUCCUUUUUUUCUUUUUCUUUUUCUUUUUCUUUUCUGUCUUCAAAAAGCUGAAGUUUAAGUAUACAGAGUAAAUAGUUGUUCGAUAAGCCGCAAGACAAGUAAUGAGCCGCAGGAAUUGAAGUGCGAAAAUGUAAUAAAAGUAUUUUUUUUAUUAAAAAAUUUGAUUUUUUAUUAAUAAAAGUAUUUUUUAUUAAAAAAUGUAAUAAAAGUAUUUUUUAUUUUCUGUUGUGAGACUAUUCAGCGUCCAUCGUGGAAUGACUCGAAAUCCGCUGGGCAAGCAGGGACAUGCCAGCGCAGAAUCUGUCCUUAGCCUACUCCUGCAUCACGUGAUCAUGCCUUCUACUUACUUCUUACCGGGCAAGUUAGAUUUUAAUCUAAAUUUUAUUUUAGUAGGGUUGUUUGAUAUUAUUAACUUUAAAACUAGUUACCAAAUUUUAUAUCAAUUUUUUUUUUUAAUUUUUUGAAGUUCUUAAGUUUAUCUUAAUGUUCUAUUGCAGCAGAUAUUCUUUAAAUUUGUUUGGAGAAUGUGUUUGCUGCUUAUGUUGGAACACAAAGGUUGGCUCAAAGUUUUUUUUUUGAAAGAUAGGUAGCAUGUUAUCUGCUUCGUUUAUUUCAUUUAGAAAUAAAUUUAGCUCGAAAUGUGAAUCAACUAAGAUUCGAACUUAAGUUUCAGAUACCAACUACCAAACUCUUUGCCACUUGCUCUAGGGACGGUCGGUAGCUUGGUGCCAAACUACUACUUAACUAUAUAUAUAUAUAUAUAUAUAUAUAUAUAUAUAUAGAGUUGAGCUAGGAUACUUUUAGAAGCACUAUCCACUUGGUGCUUCUAAGUUUCUAAUCCUUGGAUCCACUCCAUAAUUACUAAUAUUCUUUGGAUCAAACACUAUUCCAUCUACCACCACCAACCACCAUCAUCUCAACCUCACAUCUCACCAUCCAAGGGCUAAAAACUCUAAAACACCACCCACUUGGUAUUUCUAAAAGUAUUCUAGCUCCACUCAUAUAUAUAUAUAUAUAUAUAUAUAUAUAUCAUGCGUUGCUGUUGGUGUUUGGAUAGGAGUGACUGAAUGAGGGGUUUUGUGUGUCCAUGUGAACCAUUUUUCUCUUUUCCCAAGGUGGUCUACAGUGUCGUGGCAUCAAGGUGAAAAAAGUUAGGCAAAAAAUGAAAAACCAGCAACCCAUGUGCUGUGGUACAAUCAAAUUAAACCCCUAUGUGUCUAUGCACCCUUAUCAUUAAUGUCUUUCACUGCCUACCACAACCUUCUAUUUUUUUUGAAAAAAAAAAUUAUAUUAUUAACAUGACGUCGCCAAUCUAUUAAAUUUUAAAUUCAUCCAUUCCGUCAUAAUUAUUAAAAAUAAAAAUAUAAUUAACCGUUAAUAAAUAAUAUCGUAUGAGUGAUACAAAGGGAAAGGAGGUUCUCCAUUGAGUAAAUAUGCUCACAGAAGUUCCAAUUCAAGCAGCAGCUGUAGCAAGGGAAAGAAAAGUCUCUAGGCCGUAAAUUGAUCCCUUCAUAAAAAAUACCCUUAAUUAAUUAAUGAUUGUCUUUGUUUGGACUUGUCAGGGUUGCUUGCAUUAAUUAAUCAUAUAAAUAUAUAUAUAUAUAUAUAAAAUAGGUUGAGACAAGAACCAAAAACCAGGAAAAUAAAAAGGCAUCCUCAUGAAGAACCAGCAAAAACAUAAUGCAAGUACAGGAUUACUUAAUUUACACACUUAAACAAGCAACAAGAGCCCUGGAAUGAGCAGGAGAACAGAGGAGAAUAUUAAAUGGAGCCACAAUAAUAAUAAUAAUAAUAAUAGACUAAAAGGGAAAGGAGGGUUCACUACAAGACAGGUGGUGAGGAAUGGAAGCAAGCAAGCCACAAGGUUUCUGGUGAAGGGAAUCUCAUAAUAAAGAGGCAUCUUAAUCUCAAGCCCUGCUCUUGAAUGGGAUGGCUCUGAUCACCACCUGGUGGUAGAUGGCAGCUAGUGCUGCUCCAAUGAAGGGCCCCACCCAGAAGAUCCACUGCAGCAAGAUAAAGACCAUUCAAUUAAAGGAAAUGGGCAUAUCAUUUAUGUAAACAUUUUGUUUCUUCUUUUUUCUUUUUUCUUUUUUUAAGAUAAAAAAAAAAGAGGAAAGGAAAAAAGAAAAACUCUUUUAAUUACAUGGUCAUCCCAAGCAUGUUCCCUGUUGUAGAUGAUGGCAGCUCCAAGGCUCCUAGCAGGGUUGAUGCCAGUGCCAGUGAUGGGGAUGGUGGCCAGGUGGACCAGGAAGACAGCAAAGCCAAUGGGCAGAGGUGCAAGGAUCUGUGUGUGUGUGUGUGUGUGUGUGUGUGUGUGACCAAACCCCCACCCCCACAACAAUAAUAAUUGUCAAUAAUAUUCAUGGAUAUAUACACAUAUAUAUAUAUAUGACAAGAAAAUUUACAGACCAGUAAAAAUAGGACCAGGAAAUUUAGCCUCAGAUGUUGAAAGCUUUUAUCAUGCUUUAACUAAAAGAAGUUCUGCUCACAUGACAUGUUGAUGUAGUAAAGCAAGCAAGUUCACAAACAACAGGUGUGCUUCUGCUCCUAAGGAAGCAAAAAAUUGAGUUUUUUUUUUUUUUUUUUUUUUUUUUUUUUUUUUGGUUUUUUCAUAAGAAACAUGCCAAUUUAGAGAGGAAGUGUCAACAAGAAAAACACCACUUGAGAGAAGGUUGCUGGGGAAACAAAAUUUCAAGGUUGAGAAUUUCCAGGAAUUUUGGGCACUGUGGAUAAUAAGAGUAACAGCAAAUGGAUGAUUUAAAUUAAACUUUUGAGCCACAGCACAUGGGAUCAUCAAACGAAGAGAGCAUAAAGCAAGUAAGAUAAAAAGAAACAGAGAUUAUAUAUAGAGAGUAUAAAAGAAGAAGAAGAAGAAGAAGAAGAAGAAGAGGAAAGAGGGAGUUGUACAUACAGGGACAUGAGAGUCUCUGGCAUUCCUCUUGGCAUCAGUGGCAGAGAAGACAGUGUAGACGAGGACAAAGGUGCCAAUGAUCUCAGCGCCAAGCCCAUCGCCCUUGGUGUAACCAGGGGCCACAACAUUGGCCCCUCCUCCAUUGCCCAUGUAGAGCCCCUUUUGGAACCCCUUCACCACUCCAGCUCCACAAAUGGCUCCCAAACACUGCAUCACUAUGUAGAAGAUGGCCCUCGUCAGGGACAGCUUCCUCGCCAGCAGCAGCCCAAAUGUCACUGCUGGGUUGAUGUGCCCACCUGCACCAAAAAAAAAAUUUUAAAAAGAAAAUUUUUAAGACACAUUAAUUUCUGAAGUUCAGAUGGAAUAUAUAUAUAUAUACAUACAUAUAAAAAAAGAGAAUGAGAGGGGAAGAGACUUUAAAAAUUUCUGUUUUUCUUGCUUCCAUGAACAAAGGAAAGAAAAUGAGAGAGAGAGAGAGAGAGAGAGAGAGAGAGAGAGGUGUUUUCAGUUUUUUUUGGCUGAGAGUAAUUUUCUCUCCUUUCCUCCUCCUAAAGACUCAAACCAAAUUGAAGAAAGUAGUUUUCUUUCCUACUUCUCCUUUCUCCUCUAUAAUAAUUAUAUACUAUUAUGUUAAAAUUGAGGUAAAACCAGAGACAGCACUUAAUUCAGUAAGCUCAAGCAAAGAUAAUCUUUUUCUCCUCUUCAAAGCUGAAGAGGAGGGAGAAGAAGCAAAAGAGUACACCAAACAGAUUAAAAAGAAAGAAAGAAGAAGAAGAAGAAGGAGGAGGAGGUGUGUAUCUAACCAGAGAUCCCAGCAGUGCAGUAGACAAGGGCAAAGAUCAUGCCCCCAAAGGCCCAAGCAAUCCCCUGGACACCCACGGUGGAGCACUUGCUGGGGGACUUGACGACGCCCAUCACGGUGAGGAUGGAGACGUAGAGGAAGAGGAAAGUGGCCAUGAACUCGGCUAUCCCUGCCCUGUAGAAGGACCAUGAUUUGAGCUCCCCUGGCUCGAACAGAGGAGCCGCGGGUGGCUCCUUGUAGUCCUUGCUAUCUUGGCUCUGCGCAGCAGUCCCUAUGGGCUGCCUCUCCGAGAACUUGUUCGCCCCCAAGCUCACAUCCUCCUCCUUCCCCUCCAUCCUAUUCCCUCUCUCUCUCUCUCUCUUUCUCUCUCUCUCUAGUUGUCAAAGGGAGGAGGAGGAGGAAGCAGAGUGAUGAAGAAGAUACCCUGCAGGGGAAGGAAAAGCCUAGUAAUGGUGGGGUUUUAUAGAGAGAGAGACAGAGACUCAGAGAGGAUGUGGCUCAGAGUGAUUAAUUAAGAAAAAACUUGAAAUACCACUCCUCUAUUAUGUGAUUUAAAGUGUACCAUUUUUAUAUUAUGUGAUUUUAUUUUUUUAUUAAUUUUUUUGUAAAAUUAAUGAUAAAAUUAAAACUAAAUAGUACUAAAGUGAAUAUUCGAUAAUCUAUAGAUGGAGUAUCUGAAAUUUUUUAUAUAUGAUUUAACGAAAAAUUAACGGAGGAGCUGAUGAAAAAAAAAAAGAAAAAAUUACAAAGUACUAAAUUGAUACACUUUAAACCAUAAGCUAUUAAGAAUGGUAUUUAAAGUUUACACAUUAAUUAAUGUUUAAACUUCUUGCUGUAGGUGAAUGGAGGUGAAAUGAAAUCCAAGGAUAUAUGGACCCUGCAAUAUUAUUUUUACUUAUUCUAUAUUUACUUACCCUUCUAAUUUCUUUUCUUGGUGAUGAUCACAAACAACAAUACAAAAAUAAAAUGUGCAAAUAAAUAAAAGUUCGAAAAAAUAAAGUAUUUUGAUUGAAAUUUUAUUUAGAAUAUUCAAUAAUUAAUUUAUUUUAUAUUAAAAUAAUUUACUUACGAAAUAAUUUAUCUUAUUUUUAAAAAAAUAAGAUAAAGAUGGAACAUGACGAUUAUUAUUAUUUUAAAUAUUUAAUCAUAAUUCAUAUCUUUAUAAUAUAUAAAUAAAUAAAAAAUAUUAGAACUAAAACCGAGAAGAUCUAAUUCGUCGGAUGCGAAAAUACCAAAAAAGAUCCGAGAAAGAGAGAAGAAAAAUAAAGCACAUAAUAUUUACGUGGUUCGGCCAACGGCCUACGUCCACGGGUGAAGACGGAGCGAAAAUCUUCAUUAGAAUCAAAGUGGUAUACAAAAUAUGCCUUUCUCACAAAAUUCUAAUUCCAAAAAAUACACCCAUAUUUUCUCUCUCAUCUUCCGCACUAAAUCAAUAGUAGAAAGGGUAUAUUUAUAAUAGUGGCUAAAUCCUAAUACGAUUAGAAAUACAAACCCACUAAGAUUAGAAAUAUCUCGAUAAAUUAGGCAUAAUCUAAACUUAACUUAAUGGGAUAAUUAAAACAGAAUAGGGUUAGAAGACCUUACGGUACUAGAAUUCGAGACAUAUUUAACAAAAAAUUUACUCCAUAUUUGUGCAUUAAUUACCUGAAAAUAUGACAAUUAAAUAGCCAUACGAGGAUAGCUCAGAACCAACCAACCAACCAACCACACAUGGUUACUUCUGUAGUUUAUUAUUAUUAUUAUUAUUAUUAUUAUUAUAUAAAUAAAAGAGAAUAAACAGUUGGGUUUUGUUGUUAUGCCACAUUUAUUUUAUUUUUUAUUUUUAUUUUAUUUUGUUUUAUUUUAUAGUUAUUAUUGUUAUUAUUAUUAUGGGGAUGAUGAGAAUGAUAGUGAGAGGGAGGAGUGGUGUAAUUGUGGGGACAAUGACAGGGAGGAGGAGGAGGAGGUGGUGGGUCUACGAUCUUAUCUUUUUCUUAAUAAAUGAUUCUAUUUUGGUUUUGCUCAUCCAAAACGCUCCAUGAGUUCAUCAUUGGCCACCCACCUUAUCCUGUGAUCAGCUCAAAUUAAUACAAAUAAUAAUAAUAAUAAUAAUAGGAAGAAUAAAAUAAAUAAAAAUAAAAUGUGGUACAACGCAUUAUUAUAAGAGAAAUUUUAUUCGCACAUUUCAAAAAAAAAAUAAAUUUUACACUUCUUAUUAUAGAGUUUAAAAAAAAAUUUGGUAUGAUAAGUAAAAUAUUAAUAGCUUUUCGAUAAAGUAAAUGUAAGAUGCACACCUUAUUUUGGGAUAUAUCAGCAUACCAAUAGCACUACUUUUAUUAUAUUUAAGAUCAGUAAGUUUAUUUGUAUUUUAGUUACGUAUUUUGGAAAUCAUUAUUUAGUAAGUAUCUUAUCUGGAUUGAGAAUUAAAUUGUGAAAAAUCUAAAGCCAUUUUUUUUCUUUUUUUCCCCUUUUUAGCUACAUGAGUCUAAUUGGAUUCGAAUUUAAAGACUUUGAUUAUGAUAUCAUGUCAAAUUAAGUAAAAAAAAAAGAACAAAAUUGAAAAAAUAUUUUCAAAAUUUAUAUUUAAUAAUAUAUUCUAUCCUUAAACAACACGUGAAAAUUUUGAAUUGGGCCAAAACUCUGAAACAAAUAAUUAUAAGCAUUUCAUGCGAUUGGUACUUUUUGGUUUUUUUUUUUUUUUUUCUUUUUCCCACCAACCCAUGCAGCUUACAAAGAACCCAAAAAGAUACGAGAGAACUUCUCAUUAAUUUGUUCUUUACAUUUCUUCUUUAGUUUCAAAUGGGCAAAAGUCCAGCGAUUCAGUGGGACCAUAGAAACAGCUGAGUAUUGAAACUUUACAUCGAAAUGGAUAAUGGCAAAUGAUUACAUCUCAAAAGAUAAAAUAAAAUAAAAUAAAAUAAAAUAAAAGAACCUCCUCCCUGAUUUUUUUUAUUAUUUUUUCCAACAUAAACACAUCAUAGGGAUUUAGAAAAGAAUUUCAUAUUAAUGCAUGGCUAAAAGAUAUAAAAAAAGUCAGCUUUACUCUGGGAAUAAAUUAAUUGACAUAAUGUCUCUACCUUGUAGAAGACAAAAUUAACGAGACAUAGAAAUACUUGAGAGGCGCAAACUUGAUGAUCUAACUUUUGAAAUAACCAUUUUACGGACUUUAAAACUGGCAAUAGUGUUAACACUCUUUGAAUCCAAACGUUGAAACGAGACAAGCCGCUUAAAAGAGAAUUAAGGCUGUAUAAUUAAAUUAAAAAAAAUAAUUGUUUAGUAAAAUAUAAAAUUAAAUAUAUCAUAACAGUAAAUCGAGAAUUCUCAAUUAGGGGUGUAAACGAGCCGAACACGAGCAAGCUGGGGUCGGCUCGUGUUCGGCUUGNGGAAUAAAUUAAUUGACAUAACUUCUCUACCUUGUAGAAGACAAAAUUAACGAGACAUAAAAAUAUUUGAGAGGCGCAAACUUGAUGAUCUAACUUUUGAAAUAACCAUUUUACGGACUUUAAAACUGGCAAUAGAGUUAACACUCUUUGAAUCCAAACCUUGAAACGAGACAAGCCCCUUAAAAGAGAAUUAAGGCUGUAUAAUUAAAUAAAAAAUAAUAAUUGUUUAGUCAAAUAUAAAAAUAAAUAUAUCAUAACAGUAAAUCGAGAAUUCUCAAUUAGGGAGUGUAAACGAGCCGAACACGAGCAAGUUGGGCAAGUUGGGGUCGGCUCGUGUUCGGCUUGUUAAAGUAUCGAGUCAAAAAAUCCAGCUUGUGUUUAGCUCGUUUAUUUACGAGCCGAACAUGAGCUGGCUCACGAGCCGGCCAACGAACAAUAAAUUAAAAAAAAUUAUAUUAAAUAUAUAUAAAAUAUAAAUUUAUAAAAUCUUAACUAUUAGACUUUUAUCUAAUAGUUGUGACUUGAAACUUUACAUAUAAAUGAGUCUUUUUAUAAUUAAGUUCGCAUUUAUAUUUUUAUUUUGCUAAAAUUUAAAUAAUAAAAAUAUAUAUUAUAUAUAAUUAUUUAUUUAUAUAUAAAAAUAUAAAUUAUAUAAAUAUAAAAUAUAUGUAUUCGAGCUGUUAUCGAGCUGAAUACGAACAAGCUGACCCCAGCUCGUAUUCGGCUCGUUUAUUAAACGAGCUGAAAAAUUCAGUUCGUGUUCGGCUCGUUUAUUAAACGAGCGAACCGAUCUCGAGCUUAUUUCGAGCCGAACAGCGAGCUGAAUUGCCACCCCUAUCUCAAUGGGACGGGGAUGGUUUCUUCUAAACUUAUUUCCGUUGAGGGGCGGAGAAGAUAGAGACGACGGUGGGGGACCCGAAAGCAGCACAUUUUACGAAGCGGCGGUCGCCGCGGGUGGGCCAUGCCCCAGCACAUGCUGCACCUCACUACAACGGCUAGUUUUCGUUGGCCCUAGGUCUUACUCCAUGAGCGUUGUUUUUAUUCAAUUUCAUGUGCAAAAAAAAAAAAAUUCUAUAAUUAUUAUUUUACUAUAAUUUGGUGUAAAAAUAGUUUUUUUUUGUACAUUGAAAAUUUUAAUUAUUUAUUAGCAACAAAACGUAUUAUAGCCGUUUGCAUUUGCGUGCGUACUCGUGUCUUUAAUAUUUGGCCUUUUUAGGAUUAGAAUUGGUGAGAAUGGAUUCAGAAUAAGAAUAUAUAUUUUGCAUUCGCUCAGUUUCAAAUAAUGCAACAAAUAUGGCAAAUUAAUUUUUAUUUUGGGAGAAAAAUUGGUACUUGGAUCUAGUUUUUCGUAUCAUUUAUUGACUGUACGGAUACUAUCUUUCUACUUUAAUUUUUCUUGUAAUUUCCUAUCUAUCAAAAUAAACUAAUUUUAAAAUUUUUAAAUGCUGAAAAUUUAAACGUCUCGCUCUUACUCUGGAUAAAAGUAAAUAACGGGAAGUUCCGGAAUUAACCCGUGGACGAGGUCUAGGUAAUAAUCCUAGAUGAUCGAACAUUAGUGGAAUGUAAAAAAAUCUAUAUUUCAACUGAUUUUUACAUUUAUAUUUUAGUGUUUAUAAUAAAUAUAUUUAAAUUUUAAAAUGAAAUCUAGAUUUUAGAGAACAAAAGAUGAAACAUAAAAAUAAAAAUAAAAAAAAAAUGCAAAUUUCUGAACGUUUCACGGCCGCAGCAUGCAAAGUGUUCUCAAACUAGACCUUAACAACUGGGAAAAAAAAAAAAAAAGGGCCACGUAAACUUUAAAUAUCAAUACUUCGGUCUCGCACUUUUUUAUUUUAGUGUUCUAUGAUUUAAAGUGUAUCAAUAUAGUAAUCCUGUGCUUUUAUUUAUUUUUUCAUCAGUUUUACCGUUAAUUUUUUAUUAAAUUAUAUAAAAAAAACUUCAGAUACUCUAUUCAUAAUUUAUCGAAUAUUCACUUUAGUAACUCAUAGUUUUAACUUUAUCGCUGAUUUAAAAAAAAAUUAGUAUAGAAAAUAACAAAAAAAUAAUCACAGAGUAUGAAAGUGAUAUAUUUUAAAUUAUAAGAUACUGAAGUGAGAAAAUACGAAAUUACGUGAAUGGUAUUUAAAAUUUUUUCAAAAAAAAAAAUUAAAAGAAAAGGGGCUGGCAUGUCUCUGUCCACCCAACCAAUCAUACAAUUCCAGUUGAUUNAACUUUACAUAUAAAUUAGUCUUUUUAUAAUUAAGCUCGCAUUUAUAUUUUUAUUUUGCUAAAAUUUAAACAAUAAAAAUAUAUAUUAUAUAUAAUUAUUUAUUUAUAUAUAAAAAUAUAAAUUAUAUAAAUAUAAAAUAUAUGUAUUCGAGCUGUUAUCGAGCAGAACACGAACGAGUUGACCACACCUCGUAUUCGGCUUGUUUAUUAAACGAGCUGAAAAAUUCAGUUCAUGUUUGGCUCGUUUAUUAAACGUGCGAGCCGAUCUCGAGCUUAUUUCGAGCCGAACAGCGAGCUGAAUUGCCACCCCCUAUCUCAAUGGGACGGGGAUGGUUUUUUCUAAACUUAUUUCCGUUGAGGGGCGGAGAAGAUAGAGACGACGGUGGGGGACCCGAAAGCAGCACAUUUUACGAAGUGGCGGUCGCCGCGGGCGGGCCAUGCCCCAGCACAUGCUGCACCUCACUACAACGGCUAGUUUUCGUUGGCCCUAGGUCUUACUCCAUGAGCGUUGUUUUUAUUCAAUUUCGUGUGCAAAAAAAAAAAUUCUAUAAUUAUUAUUUUACUAUAAUUUGGUGUAAAAAUGAUUUUUUUUGUACAUUGAAAAUUUUACUUAUUUAUUAGCAACAAAAUGUAUUAUAGCCGUUUGCAUUUGCGUGCGUAUUCAUGUCUUUAAUAUUUGGCCUUUUUAGGAUUAGAAUUGGUGAGAGUGGAUUCAGGAUAAGAAUAUAUAUAUUUUGCAUUCGCUCAGUUUCAAACAAUGCAACAAAUAUGGCAAAUUAAUUUUUAUUUUGGGAGAAAAAUUGGUACUUGGAUCUAGUUUUUCAUAUCAUUUAUUGACUGUACGGUCAUUAUCUUUCUACUUUAAUUUUUCUUGUAAUUUCCAAUCUAUCAAAAUAAACUAAUUUUAAAAUUUUUAAAUGCUGAAAAUUUAAAUGUCUCGCUCUUACUCUGGAUAAAAGUAAAUAACGGGAAGUUCCGGAAUUAACCCGUGGACGAGGUCUAGGUAAUAAUCCUAGAUGAUCGAACAUUAGUGGAAUGUAAAAAAAUCUAUAUUUCAACUGAUUUUUACAUUUAUAUUUUAGUGUUUAUAAUAAAUAUAUUUAAAUUUUAAAAUAAAAUCUAGAUUUUAGAGAAUAAAAGAUGAAACAUAAAAAUAAAAAUAAAAAUAAAAAUAAAAUGCAAAUUUCUGAACGUUCCACGGCCACAGCAUGCAAAGUGUUCUCAAACUAGACCUUAACAACUGGGAAAAAAAAUGGGCCGGGUAAACUUUAAAUAUCAUCACUGUGGUCUCGCACUUUUUCACUUUAAUAUUCUAUGAUUUAAAGUGUAUCAAUAUAAUAAUUCUGUGCCUUCAUUUUUUUUUUCAUCAGUUUUACCGUUAACUUUUUGUUAAAUUAUAUACAAAAAACUUCAGAUACUCUAUUUAUAAUUUAUCGAAUAUUCACUUUAGUACCUCAUAGUUUUAACUUUAUUGCUGAUUUAAAAAAAAAUUAGUGUAGAGAAUAACAAAAAAAUAAUCAUAGAGUAUGAAAGUGAUAUAUUUUAAAUUAUAAGAUACUGAAGUGAGAAAGUGCGAAAUUACGUGUAUGGUAUUUAAAAUUUUUUCAAAAAAAAAAAGAUUAAAAGAAAAGGGGCUGGCAUGUCUCUGUCCACCCAACCAAUCAUACAAUUCCAGUUGAUUCUAGCCAAUUCGCUGGCCCCACAGCCCAUUUAAUAUUAUAUUAGAAUUUUCUACGUACACAUGCCUUUAAUUAGUACAAAUAUUUAUUACAUGUGAUCAUAAUAUCAUAAACCUUUUAUACACACACACACAUACCCACCACACACACACACACCAUGUUUUGGUAUUAACUAAUUCCACACACACACCAUAGUUUGGUAUUAACUAAUUCCACUCAUUUGAUAUUUAUAUAUGCGGUGAAAGAAUAUGGGGUGGAACUGCUUGAAUAAGAAAGCUGGUGCUUUAAUAAUAUAUCUUCUUCGCUGGGAUCAAUUAUAAUGCAAAUUAUGAUUAAACUAAAGCUAUGGGCGGUUAUCUUAAUUAAUAUUAAGAAAGCAUUAAGAAAGAUAAUCCUUGAAUAGGGUUUGUUAUACAGCUUGCCGCCUAAUUCUACUUUAACAUUGUUAUUAAUUUGGUUCUUCAAAUACUCGGUUUUUUCUUAAAAAAAAAAAAACUUCUUUUUGGAGUCUUAGUGAGCUUAUCUUGCUCUUAAAUUAGAAAUUUUGACCAACUGUAUUUAACACAAUUGGCUGACGAAUUUGGUAUCCGAUAUCUCAAGUUUGAAGCAUAAUUUAUCCUUUUUUUGAAAGUGAAGAGAUAAAAUAGCAAACUAUUUGUUUCGUUUAUUUAUUAAAAAAAGGAUUUAACUAUAAAUAUUAGUAAUUAAGUUUCGAACUUAAGAUUUUGAGUACUUAUCGUUAAAAUCAUAGCUAACUGUACUAGAUACGGUUGAUAAAUCUCAAAUCUAAUAACUUUACAUUUCUAGGUGAGCAUGCUUUUAAUAUACUAAUAUAAGGAAAUUGUUUACUAAUUAUUUUUUUUUUACAUCUUAUGUUUUUACACAUAAUUUGAACAAAAAGAGAAGGCUCUCCGAAUACUUGUGGAAUUGAAGGGGGCGAUUACGCCAACGAGUAUCAUGUGAGACCAAAAAUAUCAUGUUCCAUCCAAUUCCUUCUCGAGGCUUCACGAGCCAACGAGUAUCAUGUGAGACAACUCAGCAACUUCUUUUCUCUACUUGCCCACAUGAGGGUCCCUUUCCCCCAAACCAACCACCUCAGCAACCAAAAAAUGUUUCUUUAUAGCCACAUACAUACAUACAUACAUAUGCAUAUACAUAUAGAGUUGAACUAGAAUACUAUCGGUAGCCGUUUUACUACCGAUUUGUUUUCGAUGAUAGAGCUUUCAAAUUGACGAUCGGCUCCGUUAAAUAUGAUAUAAACCAUUUAAACUACCUAGAAAUCAAAUUUCACGCACUUUCGAUAUUGUUCUUUUAUCUAUCAAGUGAACAGAAAAAUGAAUGGCUGAAAAUGAAUACUCUUUAAAAAAUGAUGAUAGGAGUCUUGUAAUCAAGAUCAAGAGUAUAGAUCUUGUUAUAAAUAGUUUAAAGAAUUUUCUAACAAAAAUUCAAUUGAUUUGGAUAUCUUUACGCCGUUAAACGAGAAAACGCCUCUUAUCGACCAUUAAAAUUACAAAUUUUGAAACCCUUUGAUCAUUAGGCAAAUGAUAUUGAAAAGAUUUGAAAUUUGAUUUCUAAACACUUCAAGUGGUAUAGAUCAUGUUCAACGGAGCCGAUCGUCAAUUUGGAAGCUCUAUCAUCGAAAAUAAAUCGGUAGUAAAACGACUCGUUUACUACCGAUAGUAUUCUAGCAAAACUCUAUAUAUAUAUAUAUAUAGAGAGAGAGAGAGAGAGAGAGAGAGAGAGAGAGAGAGAGAGAGAGAGAGAGAGAGAGAGAAUUCUCAAAAAAUAUAUAGAGAGAGAGAAUGAGAGAGUAGGCUUUGUGUGUUAUUAGGAGCACGGAGGCCUCCGUGCUCCAAAGCCGUUUUCGAUGAUGGAGCUUUCGAAUCGACGAUCAGCUCCGUUAGACUUGAUCUAGCAUAUUUGAAGUAUCUAGAAAAUAAUUUUUAUGACUUUUCAGUAUUAUUUUCCUAGCUAUCGAAAGGGUUCAAAAUUUUAAUGGUUGAUAUAUACCGUUUGCAAGUUUAACCGUAUAGAAAUAUUCAAAUCAAAUGAAAUUUUGAUAGAAAAUUCUUUAUACUAUUUACAGCAAGAUCAAUAUCUUUGAUCGAAAAUUUUAAUACUAUAUAUAUAUAGAGAGAAAGAGAGAGAGAGAGAGAUUCUCUGUGUAUUAUAUUAUAUUGAUAGAACGAAGUUUUUGACACUAUUGAGUUUUUUGCGGUUUAAUUUACUUUUUAAUUAUUUCCACCCGUUAGUAUAUAUUAUUAAACCAACAUCCCACUCAAUCUUAGGAGACUAUUAUCAUCCUAACUGCACGUCCUUUCAUUCAACGAUCGAAAACUCGAUAGUAUAAAAUAUUUGAUACUAUUGAUAGUAUAAUGGCAUAAUUCUAUAUAUAUAUAUAUAUAAUAUAAUAUAUAACUAAUGGAACCGACCAAUAAAGAUGGUUUAGCCGUAUAGGUAAGCAGAAAUGUGAGACCAAAAAUAAUAAGAAGAUGCCAUUAUUUCUCUCCUCGCGUCUCUUAUGAUACAUCUUUCUCUUGAUUUCAUGUAAAACAUGCGUUAUGAUCUUAUGAUCUAAGAUCAUGUUGAGAAAAAGAAUACAUUUGGUUGUGCAGUACUCGAGNAGCAGUUUGAAACCAAAAAAAAAAAAAAAACUAAUAAAUAAAUAAAAUGGAACUGAUGUAAUCAUCCUUCGAAUAAUGGGAUUAAAUAAGAGGUUUUUCCAUUACAGAAAGUCAAACCAAACUUGUACUCUGCACGAACAGAAAGGCUGCUUAAAUUUUUAAGCUUAAUUAAAAAAAAAAAAUCGAGCCUUUCUAAAAGCUUAAUCUCUCUCUCACUAUGUGGGACCACUUCCCGGGACCAAGCACUAUCGUGCUCGGUUACAUUUACUUCACCACUUCCCUCUAUUCUUUUUUAUUUAUUUAUUUUAUUUUUCUUUAUCUACAACGAGCCGAGCUCGAGUUAGGACCACAUGGACCGAAAUCUAGCGAGCUGGUUUCGGUUUCGAUUUCGAUUUCUUUGCCAACUCUGUAUGCAUGGCAUGUUUUGCUACGCCGACUACAUCUUGUUUGUAACAUAGUCGCAAGGUUAGUGUUCUCAGAUAAAUUCUGCAGCGUAGACGAGUAGUGCUAUAUUUACAAACAAAUUUUUUAACAUUAUACAAAUCGUGUAGUUUUUCUAGCAAAUAAGGCCCACGGCCCAAAAACAUAGUUCUCAUAACAAAGCCCAUUCAUUAGUCUGAUCUAACUUGCUUUUCAAAGAAUUCGAUGUCAAAUCAAGCCCAUCCAAUUUUGGCAGUGGACUAAUGUGGCCUAACACAAGUUUGAGAAUUAAAAACUGCAUCCCGACUGACCGUCCCUAAAGCAAGUGGCAAAAGGCUUGGUGGUUGGUGCCCGAGACCCAAGUUCGAAUCCUAGUUGGUUCUUAUUUUCAGCUAAGUUUAUUUCUAAAAUGAAAUAAACGAAGCAGAUAACGUGCUACCUAUCUCUGUCAAAAAAAAAAAAAAAAAAAAACCUGCGGCCCGAAAAAAUGGCCACUCCACAUAAGUCGACAAUUCGACAUCAGGCACCCUCCAACAAGUAUCUUGCAUCAGUCUUGCGGAAUUCAGCAAUUUAGCAAUCUCUCUAAAUAUACACUGUCACGAAAUCCACAAACUAACGAGUUCUACAUCCAAUCUAAUCGCAAACAAAUACGCCGGUAACCGAUCGUCCCUAGUGCAAGUGACAAAGGGUUUGGUGGUUGAUAUCUGAGGUCCUAACUUCAAAUCUUAGUUAAUUUAUAUUUCCAGUUAAAUUUAUUUCUAAAUAAAAUAAACGAGGCGGGUAGCAUGCUAUCUAUCUCUCUCUAAAAAAAAAAAAAAAAACAAAUACGCCAGUAACUCACUGCUACAGCGACAGCUGUCAGAUUUCUUAUAAAGAAGUUUCUAGCCAGCCGAAUCCAUUACUAGAAUUUCCAAUAUAAUGCUCGUUCGCUUGUUCUUUAAAUUAGGGGGAAAUCAAGGGUUGGACAAAAAAUAAUCUUGAUAACAUUGAGCUGGUUUCAAGGAAAUAAUAACAAAAUAAUCUUGAUAACAUUGAGCUGGUUUCAAGGAAAUAAUAACAAGAGAGAACUACAUUUCACUUACCAGGAUGAAAAUCCACAACCAUUAUUUUUAGAGGAAUGAAGGGAAAUUUGUUAUUUUGAAAGCCUAGCAAGGUUCAUUCUCAAGCUAUAUGACUGGAUUUGCAUUCGCACUUAAUGAACUUCCCCUGACAGUUCUAUCAGAUGCGCGCGCAAUAAAGCAAUUUGCAACAGAUCAUCAAAAAAGCAAGUUAGAAAUCAUUUGCAAAAAAAGGAAUUGCUCAAAUUAUAGUUGAACAAGACGGCUCAAAAUAAUCAAUUUGUACAUGGCAACUCGAUGUAACAGAGAGAAAAGUGAAAGAAAAAUGCUAAAUACCAAGAAAAUACUAAAAUAUAUAUAUAUAUUGUACUUUACAACACGUCUCAAUUGUUCUCAACAAAUUUUUUAUUUUAAUUUAACUUCUGUAUUUUGCCAUAUUCUCUAUCGCUAAACUUUCCGUUAAUCUUUUAGGCAAAUGAGUUGGACGAGGGCAAUUCAACAUUUGCUUUUUCAUGAGGGAGGGUUGUUAUAAUGUUGACGAAUUUCGAUGUUGGUGAAUCCUUGGAUUUAAUUAGUGAUUAUGUAUUCUCGUUCAGAAUAGCGAGUCCAAUGAUUGCGUUAAUUAGUCUCUGAAUUGACUGACCAUUUGAAAGAUCACUGACUUAAUUACGUCAUCUGUGAUGUAUGAGCAGGGCAGUUUAUGUUGAUUAAAUAACUGGGGCUUUGAUCAUUAAGUAGAUGAACCUAUAUAUAUUUCGAAGUUAAAAUUAGGAUUUACGAGUUUUUUAGCAUUUCGAAGAUCUUAUUUUAACCGACUUUGAUAGUGACCAACUAAGAUAGACAGAGUUGAUAGAGACUAACUAAAAUUGAGAUUGAAGUUUGGUGAAUUCAAUCAUUGAACUUGAUAACAAGUGUAGUAUCCAGCUACACGAUAUCCCCGAACAAUAUAUAGUAGAAAAUCUAAACCUAUACCUCGACUCUUCCCUUUUCCUUUUCUGUUUUUUGUUGUUUAUUUCCGUUUUCUUUUACCGGACCAUCAUAUUCGUUUAGUUCAUUUCGCUUAAUGAAUGAAGCAGGUAAUUCAUAGCUAUCUUUUCUCGAAAAAACAGAAAAUCUAAACCUAUAUCAAUUUAGAAGCUGGUGGAGAAUAUCCGACCAUUUUUUUUUUUUUAAUUAAAACAUACGGAUCUUUAGUGUAACAUUUGAUCUAUUUCCACAUAAAAAAUUAGAUGCAGAUCAUUUGCAAUGUAAAACUAUUACAUUUAAGGUUCUAAAUUUUUGUCUUAUUUCCAUUUCUCACUUUUAAAUAGGCAUAAAUAAAAUUUAGACCAUAAUUCGAAUCAAGUUCAUAUAAUAACGUCCUCUAAAUUUUAAAGUUGUUCAAGUAAUAGAUAGACAGAUAGAACCAUGUCCACCACCCCAACAUUUAACUUAAGCGGGGCAUAAAUAAAUACCACUCGGACCUUACAGCCCGAGCCCGAGCCCGAGCCCAAACCAUGUCCUCAAGAUAACGGUCCGGCGCGUGUCCUCUCUUCCCCCGGGAAGCGGCUAACCACUUCUCUCUCCUCUCUCUCUCUCUCUCUCUCUCUCUCUCUCUCUCCUCUCGAGUUCCCACCACGCCCCCUCCCGCCCCCAAAUCAAGAAGCGAGGGGAGAGAAAAUCCCAAACGGCGCAAACCCUCCCCCUCCUCCCUCCCUCAUUCAAAACCCUAGAAAUCUCCUCCUCCCCCACCUCCCAAUUCCCCUCCUUUAACCCUCUCCGCCUUGCUUAUUCCUAUCCGGUUCCUCACGUUAUCCUCUCCGUCCUCUCCCUCUCUCUCGUGCGCGCGCGCGCGCUCCUCUCACCGGUGGCCGCCGUGAACCCUAGCGCAUUCGCGGCGUUUCAGCUCUCAGGUAUCGUUUGUUUUCUUCUAUAAUUGCUCUAUCUUCGAGUUUGAUGCGAAUGGCGCUCGGAACGACGCGGUUUUUGGGGUUUUUGCGGCGUUUCUUGGGGUUAAUUUUGUGGGUUUCGGUUUUUUUUCUUGGCCGGGAGAUCAGGGUUUGGAAUUCGUUUAUUUUGAGGGGUUUUGGGACAAGUGGGGUGAUCUCGGGAUGUAGGGAAUUCGCGGAAGGAUUUUAGAUUAUUUUUUGAAGGUGGGUUCGUUGCUUGAAUCGUUGAUAAUGCUAUAUCUUUUUCGUUCUAUGUAGCUUUGGCCCUAUUUUGCUCGUGUUCUUGGAUUCGGCUCUCUUCUCGGAGUGGGGGUCGUAUGCUGUGAAUUUUGAAUCCCAAGGGUUUUUGGCGGCCGUUGUGAAAUCUUGGAAUUAAUGGGCUUUGCCCCUUCUCCUUGAGCUUUUAAAAAGUGUAGAAAUUUUCGCACUUUCAUUUUCUUGCAGAGCCACUUUCUUGUUUUAUGUUUUGGUCUUAUUUUAUAUGCAAUGGCUAUACUGGGUUUCAUCAACAGUGAUGAAGCAUAUCUACCUCAAUUCUUUGUCGAACUGGAACAUUAGUUUACUUGAAAGAAAGCUGGAUUUUGUUAGGUUGGUUUGUCAAUACAAUUGCUGCUACCAUUCUUUUCUUGCAUAUAUUAUACUUUCAGCUAAUCUAAAGCAGACAUUAUUAUGACCCUGUGACAGAUUUUUGUUCAUCAUCUGAGCUGAAAGUUCUGUUCUCGGCGGACAUUCUUUUAAUUUGGCAGUGUAGCUCUUCAUUUGUUUUUCCCUCGGGUGCAUAAAUCUCACAGAAAAUGUCAGAGAGCGAGAUGGCGAUAAUUAAGCCAGAGGUAAGCGCUUCUACUUUUCUUGAUUGAAAUUUCUCGUGUCUUGUAGUGAUUGCUGUUUGCCUCUUCAGCAACUGAUCACAGGUUGAUUACUAGCAGAUUAUGUCAUGCCAUGUAUAUGUUAUACUUUAUCUGUCCCAUUUUAUGCAUAUUAAUCUUUUCAUCUGAAAACUGUAAAAACUUGUAGUUGUUCAGAAUCUCUUUAGUCCUAUUUUGGUAUGCUAUUUCCAAUUUCUGUGGUAUGCAAUAGCAGGCGACAAAUAUAAGUUUUGAGUACAUUCUUCUGCUAUAUUCUAGCAGGCUAUGAAGUCUUACAUCUGGCUUCAAUGUGCCGACGGUUCAAUCCAGCAAGUUGAAGAGGAGGUUGCAAUGUUCUGCCCCAUGAUAUGCCGAGAGGUACUUCAGAAAGGCAUGGGAUCUUCAAAAAACUAUGCCAUUUCUCUUCCACAACGAGUCAACCCUGCAAUCUUAAGCUUGAUUCUUGAUUAUUGCCGGUUCCAUCAAGUUCCGGGCCGCUCAAAUAAGGUCUUCAUCUACUACUUGAGUAAAACAUCCAUCUCUUUUCCCCUGUUUGAUGUAUUGAUUAUUUUUCUAAAGAUACACAAAUUAGCAAGUUAGAGAGAUGAUAAAAUUAAUUUUAAAUUCUUCCAGGAUUUUUUUUAGUGAUAUCUAAAAAAUCUAGCGAUUAAAGUUCCACUUGUUUAUCUUGAUGUCUAUGACUUCCAUUUGGUAGAUUGUGCAUUAUAGUGGAAGAACCAUAAGAGAUAAUUUAUGCUGCUUGUGCUUCUAUUGUUAUUUCUGUUAUCACGUUGCUUCUUCAUUUUCUAGGAGCGGAAAUCUUUUGAUGAGAAAUUCAUCAGGAUAGACACAAAAAGAUUAUGUGAGUUGACAUCUGCAGCAGACAGUCUUCAGUUGAAGCCAUUAGUUGAUCUGACUAGUAGGGCACUUGCUCGCAUGAUAGAAGGAAAAACACCUGAGGAAAUCCGUGAGACUUUCCAUUUGCCGGAUGACCUCACUGAGGUUUUUUCAAAAUGUUUCUAGUUCACCGCUCUGGAAACUGUCUUCAUUAUCUCAUUUUGCUUUCUUCUUUAUACAUAGGAAGAGAAGUUGGAGCCUUUAAAAAAUGCAAAUGAUGAUCCACGGAUCCGUUUAUUGAAUAGAUUAUAUGCUAAGAAAAGAAAAGAGCUGAAGGAACGACAAAAAUUAAAGGUAGGUACACUUUAUUGUAAUUGUUCUGAUUUCGUCAGUUCCUGCUCUAAAUACGGAAUACAUCCUCAAAGCUGAGAGCCCCCUCACUUAUUGCUCCCUCUCUUCAUAAAAGGAGAAGGAAAUAAAAUUUUAGGAAAACAUACGGAACCCCACUCACCAAUAAUAUGAGGUGCUUAGGAUUAAGUACAGCUGAGUGUAAAUGAGUUUCUAAAUUAUGAUGACCUUUCUCAGGAUAUUGAAGUUGAGGAAGAACCAAAGGAUGAGCGUUCGGUCGAAGAAAUUCUAUCAUUCAUAAAUGGUGAUGGAGGUAGACCUUUAGUAAAUUACUUUACCUUUGUCAUUUACUUGUAGUUGGACUAGUGGACUGCUAAUUCUUUGUGUGUGUGUGUGUGUGUGUGUAAGAUGUUGAAAAUUCUUGUUCAUAUUGAUGUGAUGAAAGAUCUACAUAUUUAAUUGUUAAUGCAAUGUGUCACUUAAUUUGGAAAGAGGUUUUCCUGUUUAUGAACUUUUCUGUUUACUUGUUUUUUGAUGCUAUUUACUGCUAUAAACUACUAAAAAUUGGGACAAUUAAUACAUUCUCUGGAGUGCUUCUUGUAGAUACAUUAAA
RNAcentral lists this long non-coding RNA (42367 nucleotides) under Ananas comosus (pineapple). RNAcentral's name for it is "long non-coding RNA (ACOM_LNC006299)". Lineage: Eukaryota; Viridiplantae; Streptophyta; Magnoliopsida; Poales; Bromeliaceae. The record is from RNAcentral.